ACGUCAAAGCCGAAAGCUAUUAACUUACGACAUUUCUUCGCUGCUGAAAGUGCUUUACAACCCUAAGGCCUUCUUCACACACGCGGCAUCGCUGGGUCAGGCUUGCGCCCAUUGCCCAAUAUUCCCU
RNAcentral lists this ribosomal RNA (127 nucleotides) under uncultured bacterium. Its description in RNAcentral is "partial 16S ribosomal RNA". The record is from RNAcentral.